RNAcentral lists this ribosomal RNA (446 nucleotides) under uncultured bacterium. Its description in RNAcentral is "partial 16S ribosomal RNA". It matches the Rfam family "Bacterial small subunit ribosomal RNA", at positions 338 to 795 of the family's 1533-position model. The record is from RNAcentral.
CCUACGGGUGGCUGCAGUCGAGAAUCAUUCACAAUGGGGGAAACCCUGAUGGUGCGACGCCGCGUGGGGGAAUGAAGGUCUUCGGAUUGUAAACCCCUGUCAUGUGGGAGCAAAUUAAAAAGAUAGUACCACAAGAGGAAGAGACGGCUAACUCUGUGCCAGCAGCCGCGGUAAUACAGAGGUCUCAAGCGUUGUUCGGAAUCACUGGGCGUAAAGCGUGCGUAGGCUGUUUCGUAAGUCGUGUGUGAAAGGCGCGGGCUCAACCCGCGGACGGCACAUGAUACUGCGAGACUAGAGUAAGGGAGGGGGAACCGGAAUUCUCGGUGUAGCAGUGAAAUGCGUAGAUAGCGAGAGGAACACUCGUGGCGAAGGCGGGUUCCUGGACAUUAACUGACGCUGAGGCACGAAGGCCAGGGGAGCGAAAGGGAUUAGAUACCCUGGUAGUC